Molecule: ribosomal RNA, 253 nt
Filed under: uncultured bacterium
Lineage: Bacteria
Description: partial 16S ribosomal RNA
Rfam family: Bacterial small subunit ribosomal RNA
Source: RNAcentral
UACGUAGGGGGCUAGCGUUGUCCGGAUUUAUUGGGCGUAAAGAGCGUGUAGGCGGCCUGGUAGGUCUGCUGUGAAAACUCGAGGCUCAACCUCGAGACGUCGGUGGAAACCGUUUGGCUAGAGUCCGGAAGAGGAGAGUGGAAUUCCCGGUGUAGCGGUGAAAUGCGCAGAUAUCGGGAAGAACACCCGUGGCGAAGGCGGCUCUCUGGGACGGUACUGACGCUGAGACGCGAAAGCGUGGGGAGCGAACAGG